ACCGGCGGCCCGGGUGGUGAUCGUGAUUAUUGGGUCUAAAGGGUCCGUAGCCGGUUUGGUCAGUCCUCCGGGAAAUCUGACAGCUCAACUGUUAGGCUUUCGGGGGAUACUGCCAGACUUGGAACCGGGAGAGGUAAGAGGUACUACAGGGGUAGGAGUGAAAUCUUGUAAUACCUGGGGGACCAACUGUGGCGAAGGCGUCUUACCAGAACGGGUUCGACGGUGAGGGACGAAAGCUGGGGGCACGAACCG
RNAcentral lists this ribosomal RNA (252 nucleotides) under uncultured prokaryote. Its description in RNAcentral is "partial 16S rRNA". It matches the Rfam family "Archaeal small subunit ribosomal RNA", at positions 475 to 726 of the family's 1478-position model. The record is from RNAcentral.